RNAcentral lists this transfer RNA (85 nucleotides) under Candidatus Schekmanbacteria bacterium RBG_13_48_7. Its description in RNAcentral is "tRNA-Leu". It matches the Rfam family "tRNA". Rfam says of the family: Transfer RNA (tRNA) molecules are approximately 80 nucleotides in length. Their secondary structure includes four short double-helical elements and three loops (D, anti-codon, and T loops). The record is from RNAcentral. Lineage: Bacteria; Candidatus Schekmaniibacteriota.
GCCGGGGUGGCGGAAUUGGUAGACGCAAGGGACUUAAAAUCCCUCGCAGCUUUGCUGUGUGCCGGUUCGAUUCCGGCCCUCGGCA